This 394-nucleotide RNase P RNA is filed under the name Nitrospirota bacterium. RNAcentral's name for it is "RNase P RNA component class A". It matches the Rfam family "Bacterial RNase P class A". Rfam says of the family: Ribonuclease P (RNase P) is a ubiquitous endoribonuclease, found in archaea, bacteria and eukarya as well as chloroplasts and mitochondria. Its best characterised activity is the generation of mature 5'-ends of tRNAs by cleaving the 5'-leader elements of precursor-tRNAs. The record is from RNAcentral. Lineage: Bacteria; Pseudomonadati; Nitrospirota.
CGAAGCAGUACACGCAGUCGCUGUAAAGGCUAUGGCCUUUGCAGAGGAAAGUCCGAGCUCCACAGGGCAAGGCGCUUCGUAAUGCGGAGUCUUCCCCGACUUGUCGGGGGGGAAGGAAAGUGCCACAGAAAGGGAAACCACCCCGUAACAGGGGAAAGGGUGAAAAGGUGAGGUAAGAGCUCACCAGUGUUCCGGGUGACCGGGCAGCUUGGUAAACCCCGCCUGGAGCAAGGCCAAAUAGGUUCUGUUUUGAGAGGUGCCCCCUCGAAUCCCUGCAAAGGGAGACAGAACGGGUUAGGCCGCAUGACCCUGACCGUAAUGUCAGGGCUCAGAUGAAUGGCUGCAGUCCCUUUUUUAGGGAACACAGAACUCGGCUUAUGGACUGCUUCGGCAG